This is a long non-coding RNA of Acomys russatus (golden spiny mouse), 689 nucleotides long. RefSeq lists it as uncharacterized. The transcript is spliced from 3 exons. Lineage: Eukaryota; Metazoa; Chordata; Mammalia; Rodentia; Muridae. The record is from RefSeq and is a predicted model, not a curated record.
UCUGGCAUCCCUGUAAGUGGGUACCAGCAUUCAUGCAUCAACACAGGAGGUUAGACUGAUAGGGAGGAAAAAAAAAAUCUGCACCAGCCUUUCACAUACAGUAGAUUUCUUUGCUUCUCAGGAUUUCAGAAUAAAAGAUCAGUUUCUCCAUCUGGGGUCUGUGAAAGAUGUCUUCAAAUGCUCCCUUACACUUGCUGCUGUCUUUUCCGCAACUUUUCAGGGAGAAUAUAUGCAGGCAGAACCCGACCCAGACCAAUUGCUGAGCUACAGCUAACAUACACAUACAAGCAAGAACAUGUGUUUUUUUUAAAUCUGUCUGAGUUUGGGUUACUUCCAUUUAUUUUAAGCUUUUAAAACUACUGAUAUUCCUGGAGAUUCUGCUGAAUAAAAGUUCCAUUGUGUGCAUUAUCACAUUUUUAUUUUUUAUUUUUUAUAGGAUUUUCGAGACAGGGUUUCUCUGUGUAGCCUUGGCUGUACUGAACUUGCUUUGUAGACCAGGCUGGCCUCGAACUCACAGCAAUCCGCCUGCCUCUGCCUCCCGAGUGCUGGGAUUAAAGGUGUGCGCCACCACUGCCCGGCUGCAUUAUCACAUUUUUAUAUGUAUUCAUCUGCUGAUGGGCAACUAGUUGAUGCCAUGUCCUUUCUAACCAUACUUCUGAUCAUCACAUCUUCUGUCAAGAUUGACUGAG